RNAcentral lists this ribosomal RNA (89 nucleotides) under Sphingobium xenophagum. RNAcentral describes it as "partial 23S ribosomal RNA". It matches the Rfam family "Bacterial large subunit ribosomal RNA", at positions 2837 to 2925 of the family's 2925-position model. Lineage: Bacteria; Pseudomonadati; Pseudomonadota; Alphaproteobacteria; Sphingomonadales; Sphingobiaceae. The record is from RNAcentral.
GUCGUAGACCACGACGUUGAUAGGCUGGAUGUGGAAGUGGAGUAAUCCAUGAAGCUAACCAGUCCUAAUUGCUCUGUUCGCGCUUAAAC